Molecule: transfer RNA, 69 nt
Filed under: Plectrocnemia tsukuiensis
Lineage: Eukaryota; Metazoa; Arthropoda; Insecta; Trichoptera; Polycentropodidae
Description: tRNA-Val
Source: RNAcentral
CAAAUUAGAUCUAUUUAUUAGUAUUUCAUUUACAUUGAAAAGAUUAUUUGUUAAAUCAAUUUAAUUUGA